RNAcentral lists this ribosomal RNA (500 nucleotides) under uncultured bacterium. RNAcentral describes it as "bacterial SSU rRNA". It matches the Rfam family "Bacterial small subunit ribosomal RNA", at positions 28 to 507 of the family's 1533-position model. The record is from RNAcentral.
GACGAACGCUGGCGGCGUGCCUAAUACAUGCAAGUCGAGCGGAAUGAUGAAGAAGCUUGCUUCUUUUGAUUUUAGCGGCGGACGGGUGAGUAACACGUGGGCAACCUACCUUGUAGAUUGGGAUAACUCCGGGAAACCGGGGCUAAUACCGAAUAAUCCAUUUUGCUUCAUGGCGAGAUGUUGAAAGACGGUUUCGGCUGUCACUAUAAGAUGGGCCCGCGGCGCAUUAGCUAGUUGGUAGGGUAAUGGCCUACCAAGGCGACGAUGCGUAGCCGACCUGAGAGGGUGAUCGGCCACACUGGGACUGAGACACGGCCCAGACUCCUACGGGAGGCAGCAGUAGGGAAUCUUCCACAAUGGACGAAAGUCUGAUGGAGCAACGCCGCGUGAGUGAAGAAGGUUUUCGGAUCGUAAAACUCUGUUGUAAGGGAAGAACACGUACGAGAGUAACUGCUCGUACCUUGACGGUACCUUAUUAGAAAGCCACGGCUAACUACGUG